AGAUUAGCUAGUUGGUGGGGUAAAGGCCCACCAAGGCGACGAUCUGUAACUGGUCUGAGAGGAUGAUCAGUCACACCGGAACUGAGACACGGUCCGGACUCCUACGGGAGGCAGCAGUGGGGAAUAUUGGACAAUGGGCGCAAGCCUGAUCCAGCCAUGCCGCGUGGGUGAAGAAGGCCUUCGGGUUGUAAAGCCCUUUUGUUGGGAAAGAAAAGCAGUCGGUUAAUACCCGAUUGUUCUGACGGUACCCAAAGAAUAAGCACCGGCUAACUUCGUGCCAGCAGCCGCGGUAAUACGAAGGGGGCUAGCGUUGCUCGGAAUCACUGGGCGUAAAGGGCGCGUAGGCGGCUCGUUUAGUCGGGUGUGAAAUCCCAAGGCUCAACCUUGGAACUGCAUUCGAUACUGGCGGGCUAGAGACCGGAAGAGGUGGGUGGAAUACCCAGUGUAGAGGUGAAAUUCGUA
This 462-nucleotide ribosomal RNA is filed under the name Aurantiochytrium limacinum. RNAcentral describes it as "partial Bacterial small subunit ribosomal RNA". It matches the Rfam family "Bacterial small subunit ribosomal RNA", at positions 238 to 692 of the family's 1533-position model. Lineage: Eukaryota; Bigyra; Thraustochytrida; Thraustochytriidae. The record is from RNAcentral.